AACGAACGCUGGCGGCAUGCCUAACACAUGCAAGUCGAACGAGACCUUCGGGUCUAGUGGCGCACGGGUGCGUAACGCGUGGGAACCUGCCCUUAGGUUCGGAAUAACUCCCCGAAAGGGGUGCUAAUACCGGAUAAUGUCUUCGGACCAAAGAUUUAUCGCCUUUGGAUGGGCCCGCGUUGGAUUAGCUAGUUGGUAGGGUAAGAGCCUACCAAGGCGACGAUCCAUAGCUGGUCUGAGAGGAUGAUCAGCCACACUGGGACUGAGACACGGCCCAGACUCCUACGGGAGGCAGCAGUGGGGAAUAUUGGACAAUGGGCGAAAGCCUGAUCCUGCAAUGCCGCGUGAGUGAUGAAGGCCUUAGGGUUGUAAAGCUCUUUUACCCGGGAUGAUAAUGACAGUACCGGGAGAAUAAGCUCCGGCUAACUCCGUG
RNAcentral lists this ribosomal RNA (433 nucleotides) under uncultured bacterium. RNAcentral describes it as "partial 16S ribosomal RNA". It matches the Rfam family "Bacterial small subunit ribosomal RNA", at positions 29 to 507 of the family's 1533-position model. The record is from RNAcentral.